Molecule: ribosomal RNA, 464 nt
Filed under: uncultured bacterium
Lineage: Bacteria
Description: partial 16S ribosomal RNA
Rfam family: Bacterial small subunit ribosomal RNA
Source: RNAcentral
GAUGAACGCUGGCGGCGUGCUUAACACAUGCAAGUCGAACGGAAAGGCUCCUGCUUGCAGGGGUACUCGAGUGGCGAACGGGUGAGUAACACGUGGGUGAUCUGCCCUGCACUUCGGGAUAAGCCUGGGAAACUGGGUCUAAUACCGGAUAGGACCAUCGUUUAGUGUCGGUGGUGGAAAGUUUUUUCGGUGUGGGAUGAGCUCGCGGCCUAUCAGCUUGUUGGUGGGGUAAUGGCCUACCAAGGCGUCGACGGGUAGCCGGCCUGAGAGGGUGUACGGCCACAUUGGGACUGAGAGACGGCCGAGACUCCUACGGGAGGCAGCAGGGGGGAAUAUUGCACAAUGGGCGCGAGCCUGAUGCAGCGACGCGGCGUGGGGGAUGACGGCCUUCGGGUUGUAAACUCCUUUCGCCAGGGACGAAGCGAAAGAGACGGUACCUGGAUAAGAAGCACCGGCUAACUACG